Molecule: ribosomal RNA, 253 nt
Filed under: uncultured bacterium
Lineage: Bacteria
Description: partial 16S ribosomal RNA
Rfam family: Bacterial small subunit ribosomal RNA
Source: RNAcentral
UGCGAAGGGGGCAAACGUUAUUCGGAUUAAUUGGGCGUAAAGGGUACGCAGGCGGUUUGUUAAGGCAGCUGUUAAAUCUCCCGGCCUAACCGGGAAUCAGCAGCAGAUACUGGCAAACUAGAGGAUGGAAGAGAGAAGUGGAAUUCUUGGAGUAGAGGUAAAAUUCGUAGAUCUCAAGAGGAACACCGAUGGCGAAGGCAGCUUCUUGGUCCAUAUCUGACGCUCAGGUCCGAAAGCGUGGGGAGCAAACAGG